ACGUAAUAGAUACCCGGGUAGUCCACGCCCUAAACGAUGUCUACUAGUUGUUGGUGGAGUAAAAUCCAUGAGUAAACGCAGCUAAACGCGUGAAGUAGACCGCCUGGGGAGUACGGUCGCAAGAUUAAAACUCAAAUGAAUUGACGGGGGCCCGGCACAAGCGGUGGAUUAUGUGGAUUAAAUUCGAUGCAACGCGAAAAACCUUAACCUGGCCUUGACAUGUAACGAAACUUUCCUAGAGAUGGAUUGGUUGCUCGAAAGAAGAACGUUAACACAGGUGCUGCAUGGCGUGUCGUCAGCUCGUGUCGUGAGAUGUUGGG
This 320-nucleotide ribosomal RNA is filed under the name uncultured bacterium. RNAcentral's name for it is "bacterial SSU rRNA". It matches the Rfam family "Bacterial small subunit ribosomal RNA", at positions 773 to 1079 of the family's 1533-position model. The record is from RNAcentral.